RNAcentral lists this ribosomal RNA (327 nucleotides) under uncultured eukaryote. Its description in RNAcentral is "partial 18S ribosomal RNA". It matches the Rfam family "Eukaryotic small subunit ribosomal RNA", at positions 1470 to 1796 of the family's 1831-position model. The record is from RNAcentral.
CCCUUAGAUGUUCUGGGCCGCACGCGCGCUACACUGAUUCAUGCAACAAGUUUUGUCCUUGGCUGAUAGGCCUGGGUAAUCUUUGAACGUGAAUCGUGAUGGGGAUAGAUGAUUGCAAUUAUUCAUCUUCAACGAGGAAUUCCUAGUAAACGCAAGUCAUCAGCUUGCAUUGAUUACGUCCCUGCCCUUUGUACACACCGCCCGUCGCACCUACCGAUUGAAUGGUCCGGUGAAAUCUUCGGAUCUGAGAGAUGUCAGAUUAAUUUCGGACGCCUUUUGGAAAAGUUGUUUAAACCUUACCAUUUAGAGGAAGGUGAAGUCGUAACA